CGGGUUAGGGACAGUGCCUGGUGGGUAGUUUAACUGGGGCGGUUGCCUCCCAAAAUGUAACGGAGGCGCCCAAAGGUUCCCUCAGCCUGGUUGGCAAUCAGGUGGUGAGUGUAAGUGCACAAGGGGGCUUGACUGUGAGACUGACAGGUCGAGCAGGGACGAAAGUCGGGACUAGUGAUCCGGCACCUACUUGUGGAUGUGGUGUCGCUCAACGGAUAAAAGGUACCCCGGGGAUAACAGGCU
This 243-nucleotide ribosomal RNA is filed under the name Heterosigma akashiwo. Its description in RNAcentral is "partial Bacterial large subunit ribosomal RNA". It matches the Rfam family "Bacterial large subunit ribosomal RNA", at positions 2241 to 2483 of the family's 2925-position model. Lineage: Eukaryota; Raphidophyceae; Chattonellales; Chattonellaceae. The record is from RNAcentral.